AAAUUGAAGAGUUUGAUCAUGGCUCAGAUUGAACGCUGGCGGCAGGCCUAACACAUGCAAGUCGAACGGUAACAGAAAGCAGCUUGCUGCUUUGCUGACGAGUGGCGGACGGGUGAGUAAUGUCUGGGAAACUGCCUGAUGGAGGGGGAUAACUACUGGAAACGGUAGCUAAUACCGCA
RNAcentral lists this ribosomal RNA (179 nucleotides) under Escherichia coli. RNAcentral's name for it is "partial 16S ribosomal RNA". It matches the Rfam family "Bacterial small subunit ribosomal RNA", at positions 1 to 173 of the family's 1533-position model. Lineage: Bacteria; Pseudomonadati; Pseudomonadota; Gammaproteobacteria; Enterobacterales; Enterobacteriaceae. The record is from RNAcentral.